GCUGAGAACGGCUACCACAUCCANGGAAGGCAGCAGGCGCGCAAAUUACCCACUCCCGGCACGGGGAGGUAGUAGACGAAAAAUAACGAUACGGGACUCAUCCGAGGCCCCGNNAUCGGNAUGAGUACACUUUAAAUCCUUUAACGAGUACCAAUUGGAGGGCAAGUCUGGUGCCAGCAGCCGCGGUAAUNNCAGCUCCAAUAGCGUAUAUUAAAGUUGUUGCGGUUAAAAAGCUCGCAGUUGGAUCUGUGUUCCACGCUGUCGGNUCGCCGUCGUCGGUUGUUAACUGNCAUGUCCUGNGGAACGUCCUGCCNNCGGCGGUACGGGCUCUCGGUUCCUGUGUAGAGACCAAAAUCUCGAAGCAGACCGAACAGUUCCGGCCGCCGGUUCAUAUCCCGCCACGGUGCUCUUAAACGAGUGUCGAGGUGGGCCGGCACGUUUACUUUGAACAAAUUAGAGUGCUUAAAGCAGGCUGGUGUCCGCCUGAAUACUGUGUGCAUGGAAUAAUGGAAUAGGACCUCGGUUCUAUUUUGUUGGUUUUCGGAACCCGAGGUAAUGAUUAAUAGGGACAGGCGGGGGCAUUCGUAUUGCGGCGUUAGACUUGGCAAAUGCUUUCGCGGUGAAAUUCUUGGAUCGUCGCAAGACGAACCUAAGCGAAAGCAUUUGCCAAGUAUGUCCUCGUUAAUCAAGAACGAAAGUUAGAGGUUCGAAGCGAUCAGAAANCGCCCUAGNUCNNNCCAUAAGCAAUGCCAGCCAGCGAUCCACCGAAGUUCNUCCGAUNNCNNGNCGGGCAGCNUCCGGGAAACCAAAGCUUNUNGGUUCCGGGGUCAAGUAUGGUUGCAGAGCUCAGCUUAAAGGAAUUGACGGAAGGGCACCACCAGGAGUGGAGCCUGCGGCUUAAUUUGACUCAACACGGGAAACCUCACCAGGCCCGGACACCGGAAGGAUUGACAGAUUGAGAGCUCUUUCUUGAUUCGGUGGGUGGUGGUGCAUGGCCGUUCUUAGUUGGUGGAGCGAUUUGUCUGGUUAAUUCCGAUAACGAACGAGACUCUAGCCUGCUAACUAGGCGAUUUCCGGUACCCUCUUUAGUGUUACCGGCGAUUCAAUUUCUUCUUAGAGGGACAGGCGGCUCCUAGCCGCACGAGACUGAGCAAUAACAGGUCUGUGAUGCCCUUAGAUGUCCUGGGCAGCACGCGCGCUACACUGAAGGAAUCAGCGUGUCCUCCCUGGCCGACAGGCCCGGGUAACCCGUUGAACCUCCUUCGUGCUAGGGAUUGGGGCUUGCAAUUGUUCCCCAUGAACGAGGAAUUCCCAGUAAGCGCGAGUCAUAAGCUCGCGUUGAUUACGUCCCUGCCCUUUGUACACACCGCCCGUCGCUACUACCGAUUGAAUGAUUUAGUGAGGUCUUCGGACUGGUGCGCGGCGGUCGGUUUCGCCGGCCGCCGAUGUUGCCGGAAAGAUGACCAAACUUGAUCAUUUAGAGGAAGUAAAAGUCGUAACAAGGUUUCC
Molecule: ribosomal RNA, 1509 nt
Filed under: Clastoptera sp. WCW-2003a
Lineage: Eukaryota; Metazoa; Arthropoda; Insecta; Hemiptera; Clastopteridae
Description: SSU rRNA
Rfam family: Eukaryotic small subunit ribosomal RNA
Source: RNAcentral